Molecule: long non-coding RNA, 605 nt
Filed under: Olea europaea subsp. europaea
Lineage: Eukaryota; Viridiplantae; Streptophyta; Magnoliopsida; Lamiales; Oleaceae
Source: RNAcentral
GUUGUACGUCAGCUAUAAGGACUUUGGCCACAUCUCUUCCAAAUGUCCUAGCCGAGCCUUAACCAUGGAAGAACGAAAGAAUGUAAUAGAUGAGCCGUCAAAAUAUCUAGUCUAUGAACCUAAACUUGAAGAUUUUGAUAAAUUGGAUGAUAAUGAGGACACCUCAUUAGGUAGCAUCCGGACUUUUCCUAUGACUCUAGGUGUUGUACCUCUUGUUUUCAAUACCUCUCAGUCAAGUGUUGUGCAUUAUAUCUUUAUCCAACCCAAAGGUACUGAUGAUUUGCAUAAUCCUGCUUGAAAUUUGAUCCUCCCAACUGUUCAAAUUGCAUAUAACAGUUCUAUGAAUUGCUCUAUAGGUCUAAGUCAUUUUGAAGUUAUUCCUGAUUAUAAGUCUAAGAUACCUUUAGACCUUAUUCCAAUGUCCCCACAUACUAGUAUGUCUAUGUCAGCUGAGGCAUUUGUACAUCAUCUUCAUGACUUGCAUGUUGAGAUCAAUAAACAAUUUGAAGCAAGUAAUACAUUAUAUAAAUUUCAAGCUGAUUUGCAUAAGCGAAAUUUUGAAUUUAAUAUUGGGGAUUAUGUUAUAUUGCAAGCCUACAGUGUUG